GAUGAAGAACGUAGCGAAAUGCGAUAAGUAAUGUGAAUUGCAGAAUUCAGUGAAUCAUCGAAUCUUUGAACGCACCUUGCGCCCUUUGGCCAUUCCGAAGGGCAUGCCUGUUUGAGUAUCAUGAACACCUCAACUCUCAUGGCUCGCCAUGAUGAGCUUGGACUUUGGGGGUCUUGCUGGCCUGUGGUCGGCUCCUCUCAAAUGGAUCAGCUUGCCAGUGUUUGGUGGCAUCACAGGUGUGAUAACUAUCUGCGCUUGUGGUUUUCCAUCAGAUAACCUUCAGUGAUGGAGGUUCGCUGGAGCUCAUAAACGGCUCCCCUAAGCGGGGACAGCCCUUUGAAUGUUUGAUCUCAAAUCAGGUAGGACUACCCGCUGAACUUAAGCAUAUCAAUAAGCGGAGGA
Molecule: unclassified non-coding RNA, 402 nt
Filed under: soil metagenome
Description: partial contains 5.8S ribosomal RNA, internal transcribed spacer 2, and large subunit ribosomal RNA
Rfam family: 5.8S ribosomal RNA (bases 1-121)
Source: RNAcentral